GGGCUCAUAGCUCAACUGGUAGAGCGCCGCCUUUGCUUGGGCGGAGGCCGGGGGUUCGAAUCCUCCUGAGUCCA
RNAcentral lists this transfer RNA (74 nucleotides) under uncultured archaeon. RNAcentral's name for it is "tRNA-Gly". It matches the Rfam family "tRNA". From Rfam's summary of the family: Transfer RNA (tRNA) molecules are approximately 80 nucleotides in length. Their secondary structure includes four short double-helical elements and three loops (D, anti-codon, and T loops). The record is from RNAcentral.